Molecule: small nucleolar RNA, 231 nt
Gene: U3
Rfam family: Small nucleolar RNA U3
About the family: Small nucleolar RNAs (snoRNAs) are involved in the processing and modification of rRNA in the nucleolus. There are two main classes of snoRNAs: the box C/D class, and the box H/ACA class.
Source: Ensembl
AAGACUAUACUUUCACGCAUCAUUUUUAUAGUUCAUUUACUAGAGAAGUUUCUAUGAACAUGUAGAGCACUGGAAACCAUGAGGGAGAGAGGCAGUGUUGUCUCCUGGAGUGAAACUGGCCCUAAGUUUGCUUCUGCAAAGGCCAUUUGUCACUGAUGAUCUAUCUUUCUUCUCUUUCUUUGUGAGCGGGAGAGGGAGGGUGGAUUUGUGAGAGAGAGCCGCCUGAAUGGC